Molecule: ribosomal RNA, 510 nt
Filed under: uncultured bacterium
Lineage: Bacteria
Description: partial 16S ribosomal RNA
Rfam family: Bacterial small subunit ribosomal RNA
Source: RNAcentral
GACGAACGCUGGCGGCGUGCUUAACACAUGCAAGUCGAACGAAGAGCGACGGAAGCUUGCUUCUAUCAAUCUUAGUGGCGAACGGGUGAGUAACGCGUAAUCAACCUGCCCUUCAGAGGGGGACAACAGUUGGAAACGACUGCUAAUACCGCAUACGAUCUAACCUCGGCAUCGAGGAUAGAUGAAAGGUGGCCUCUACAUGUAAGCUAUCACUGAAGGAGGGGAUUGCGUCUGAUUAGCUAGUUGGAGGGGUAACGGCCCACCAAGGCGAUGAUCAGUAGCCGGUCUGAGAGGAUGCACGGCCACAUUGGGACUGAGACACGGCCCAGACUCCUACGGGAGGCAGCAGUGGGGAAUCUUCCGCAAUGGACGAAAGUCUGACGGAGCAACGCCGCGUGAGUGAUGACGGCCUUCGGGUUGUAAAGCUCUGUUAAUCGGGACGAAAGGCCUUCUUGCGAAUAGUGAGAAGGAUUGACGGUACCGGAAUAGAAAGCCACGGCUAACUACGUG